CCUACGGGUGGCAGCAGUGGGGAAUAUUGCGCAAUGGGCGAAAGCCUGACGCAGCGACGCCGCGUGAGGGAUGAAGGUCUUCGGAUCGUAAACCUCUGUCAGCAGGGAAGAACGGACACUGUGCUAAUCAGCAGUGAGUUGACGGUACCUGCAAAGGAAGCAUCGGCUAACUCCGUGCCAGCAGCCGCGGUAAUACGGAGGGUGCGAGCGUUAAUCGGAAUUACUGGGCGUAAAGCGCUGGUAGGUGGUAUGUCAAGUCAAAGGUUAAAUCCCCGGGCUCAACGUCGGCACUGCCUUUGAAACUGGCAGACUGGAGUGUGUGAGAGGAUUGUGGAAUUCCAGGUGU
RNAcentral lists this ribosomal RNA (346 nucleotides) under uncultured bacterium. RNAcentral's name for it is "partial 16S ribosomal RNA". It matches the Rfam family "Bacterial small subunit ribosomal RNA", at positions 338 to 676 of the family's 1533-position model. The record is from RNAcentral.